AACACGUGCUAAAUCUGCCCAGGAGAGGUGGCAGGGUCAUCCUGGCCAGCCACAGCAAGCGGAGAGCUGAGACCGCUCUCGCUGACAUCAAGAGAAUGGGAUGUUCAACAAUCUGACUUUCUUCACAUUAGCACAUUUUAUUACAUCACAACCCUCGUGCGGUGGCAGUCAUAAGUCGAAGUGAAAAGAGGCGUUUUGGAAAAUGAUAAAUCUAUGAAUGGUUCGGCAUCAAUUGUUCAAUUAAAUUGGGACAGAGUAACAAAGAAAUGCCUGUGUCCUGUAGGAGAGUGGGAACAAUGAGGUGGUAUUCAUGCAGCUGGACCUGGGGAGUCAAGUCUGUUCGCUCCUUUGAUGAAAUCGUCUUGAGACUGGACCCAGAUUGAGAGGUGAAGGAGGAUUGAGGAGGUAUUGUUGGAUCACUCUUUUUCUGGGUGUAUCUCGAUAAUUCUAAACUUUUCUCUCUUCCCUCUACCCUUCUUUAUUUGUGCUGAAAUGGCAGGUGAAAGCAAUACACCUGUCCGGUUCCUUUGCAUCAUUACAGGAUGAAAGAAAGGCUGUGAGGAGAUGAAGCUACUUAAGACUAUUGAGAUGCACCCUGAACUCCCAUCAACCCAUAGAAGUGAUUACGGAUGAAUGAUGUCUCGUUUCCUCUCAGGAGAGUGGGAACAAUGAGGUGGUAUUCAUGCAGCUGGACCUGGGGAGUCAAGUCUGUUCGCUCCUUUGAUGAAAUCGUCUUGAGACUGGACCCAGAUUGAGAGGUGAAGGAGGAUUGAGGAGGUAUUGUUGGAUCACUCUUUUUCUGGGUGUAUCUCGAUAAUUCUAAACUUUUCUCUCUUCCCUCUACCCUUCUUUAUUUGUGCUGAAAUGGCAGGUGAAAGCAAUACACCUGUCCGGUUCCUUUGCAUCAUUACAGGAUGAAAGAAAGGCUGUGAGGAGAUGAAGCUACUUAAGACUAUUGAGAUGCACCCUGAACUCCCAUCAACCCAUAGAAGUGAUUACGGAUGAAUGAUGUCUCGUUUCCUCUCAGGAGAGUGGGAACAAUGAGGUGGUAUUCAUGCAGCUGGACCUGGGGAGUCAAGUCUGUUCGCUCCUUUGAUGAAAUCGUCUUGAGACUGGACCCAGAUUGAGAGGUGAAGGAGGAUUGAGGAGGUAUUGUUGGAUCACUCUUUUUCUGGGUGUAUCUCGAUAAUUCUAAACUUUUCUCUCUUCCCUCUACCCUUCUUUAUUUGUGCUGAAAUGGCAGGUGAAAGCAAUACACCUGUCCGGUUCCUUUGCAUCAUUACAGGAUGAAAGAAAGGCUGUGAGGAGAUGAAGCUACUUAAGACUAUUGAGAUGCACCCUGAACUCCCAUCAACCCAUAGAAGUGAUUACGGAUGAAUGAUGUCUCGUUUCCUCUCAGGAGAGUGGGAACAAUGAGGUGGUAUUCAUGCAGCUGGACCUGGGGAGUCAAGUCUGUUCGCUCCUUUGAUGAAAUCGUCUUGAGACUGGACCCAGAUUGAGAGGUGAAGGAGGAUUGAGGAGGUAUUGUUGGAUCACUCUUUUUCUGGGUGUAUCUCGAUAAUUCUAAACUUUUCUCUCUUCCCUCUACCCUUCUUUAUUUGUGCUGAAAUGGCAGGUGAAAGCAAUACACCUGUCCGGUUCCUUUGCAUCAUUACAGGAUGAAAGAAAGGCUGUGAGGAGAUGAAGCUACUUAAGACUAUUGAGAUGCACCCUGAACUCCCAUCAACCCAUAGAAGUGAUUACGGAUGAAUGAUGUCUCGUUUCCUCUCAGGAGAGUGGGAACAAUGAGGUGGUAUUCAUGCAGCUGGACCUGGGGAGUCAAGUCUGUUCGCUCCUUUGAUGAAAUCGUCUUGAGACUGGACCCAGAUUGAGAGGUGAAGGAGGAUUGAGGAGGUAUUGUUGGAUCACUCUUUUUCUGGGUGUAUCUCGAUAAUUCUAAACUUUUCUCUCUUCCCUCUACCCUUCUUUAUUUGUGCUGAAAUGGCAGGUGAAAGCAAUACACCUGUCCGGUUCCUUUGCAUCAUUACAGGAUGAAAGAAAGGCUGUGAGGAGAUGAAGCUACUUAAGACUAUUGAGAUGCACCCUGAACUCCCAUCAACCCAUAGAAGUGAUUACGGAUGAAUGAUGUCUCGUUUCCUCUCAGGAGAGUGGGAACAAUGAGGUGGUAUUCAUGCAGCUGGACCUGGGGAGUCAAGUCUGUUCGCUCCUUUGAUGAAAUCGUCUUGAGACUGGACCCAGAUUGAGAGGUGAAGGAGGAUUGAGGAGGUAUUGUUGGAUCACUCUUUUUCUGGGUGUAUCUCGAUAAUUCUAAACUUUUCUCUCUUCCCUCUACCCUUCUUUAUUUGUGCUGAAAUGGCAGGUGAAAGCAAUACACCUGUCCGGUUCCUUUGCAUCAUUACAGGAUGAAAGAAAGGCUGUGAGGAGAUGAAGCUACUUAAGACUAUUGAGAUGCACCCUGAACUCCCAUCAACCCAUAGAAGUGAUUACGGAUGAAUGAUGUCUCGUUUCCUCUCAGGUAUUUACAUUCAGGGCAACACAGAAGACUGCUUGGGGAUGAUGUUUGGUGUUAACCACCGGUCAUUUCCUGUUGACCAACCUGCUUCAGGACAGUCUGAAGGAGUGCAGUCCGAGUCGAGUGGUUAAUGUGGCGUCCCUGGGUCAUAAUUUUGGCAAAAUGUAUUUCAACUGCUCGAGCACUUAGGGAGUAGGCAAGUCUGCCAUGGAUGUCUUUAACAUCUACAGCAACAGCAAGCUGUGUAAUGUUCUCUUCACCCAUGAACUGGCCAAGAGACUGGAGGACACAAAUGUUACCUACUUCAGCCUCCACCCUGGUCAGUGCUGCUAAGUCAGGUUUAUAAAGCUUUUGAAUGUAAUGGUAUCUGCAGUUUUCAAGUUAGUUCUACCUUGGUUGAAUGUAAAGUAGAUUAAAAUGCCUAAUGAUCCAGUCCAAGCUCUCCUCUGUUCUGGCACCCACCCCAAUGGUGGAACAAGUUUCCCCCUAAUAUCAGGACAGUGUAGUCCCUGACCAUCUUCCGACAACGUCUGAAAACCUACCUCUUUAAAGAGUAUCUUAAAUAAAUCCCACAACGAUAUGUUGUCUCACCUAGCUAUCUUAAGAUUAAUACACUAAUGUAAGUCGGUCUGGAAAAGAGCGUCUAAAUGACUAAUAUAGAUUUUUUUUUAAAUAUAUGUUUUAUGAAUGGAUAACUCAACUCUAGUGCUUGUGUUUUUUUUUCUCCUGGGUUUAAUCUAACCUGAGCUGGGCCGUUAUGCAGACACUGUAUUGUUAAUGCUGUUGAAGGUCAUCUCCAUGUUGUUCUUCAAGAACACUAUGUUGGGGUGUCUGACUGACCUGGAUGAAUGAAGACAGCUUGUCUGUUGAAACAUUGGUUAUUAGGUUAUUAAAUUAUUGCAUCUGACCUCCUAGAGUGUGCCGCUCUCCUUUUUCUUUUUCAGGGGUGUCAGACCAACCUGGAGCCCCUCUCUGGACGCUACUUCUCCAACUGUACAGUCGUGGCCAAAAGCUUUGAGAAUGACACAAAU
This is a non-coding RNA of Oncorhynchus mykiss (rainbow trout), 3543 nucleotides long. The record is from RefSeq and is a predicted model, not a curated record. NCBI's taxonomy places the organism in Eukaryota, Metazoa, Chordata, Actinopteri, Salmoniformes, Salmonidae.